UAGGGAAUAUUGGUCAAUGGGUGAGAGCCUGAACCAGCCAUGCCGCGUGCAGGAAGAAGGCCUUCUGGGUUGUAAACUGCUUUUGCCAGGGGAUAAAAUAGCUUUGCGAAGCAAAUUGAAGGUACCUGGUGAAUAAGCCACGGCUAACUACGUGCCAGCAGCCGCGGUAAUACGUAGGUGGCAAGCGUUGUCCGGAUUUAUUGGGUUUAAAGGGUGCGUAGGCGGUUCUAUAAGUCAGUGGUGAAAUACUCCGGCUCAACCGGAGAGGUGCCAUUGAUACUGCAGGACUUGAGUACAGACGAGGUAGGCGGAAUUGACGGUGUAGCGGUGAAAUGCUUAGAUAUCGUCAAGAACACCGAUAGCGAAGGCAGCUUACUAGACUGUAACUGACGCUGAGGCACGAAAGUGUGGGGAUCAAACAGGAUUAGAUACCCAGGUAGUCCCUGAGCGGGCUGGCAAGGCGCAU
Molecule: ribosomal RNA, 466 nt
Filed under: uncultured bacterium
Lineage: Bacteria
Description: bacterial SSU rRNA
Rfam family: Bacterial small subunit ribosomal RNA
Source: RNAcentral